GAUUUUUGAUCUAAUAAUGAAAAUGAUAGAUUCAAGGCUAAAAAAUUAUAAACAUCAAGAGUUUGAUACUUCUAGAAGCAUAACUCAAUUAUAUAUAUAUAUAUAUAUAUAUAUAGAGAGAGAGAGAGAGAGAGAGAGAGAGAGAUUAAUGGUAUCCAGCUGUAUACUAUCCAGUUUUUAACCCUUGCAUGAAAAAAUUAUAGGAUUGGUCUAAUGGUGGUCCCCUAAAGUUUAGUUGUAAUCCUUCUAGGAUUUAGUAGGUGAUGGAAUUGAUCGAGUGGUAGAUGUGACGGUGAUGGAUAGCAUUAAGUGUUUAAAACUAUUAAUAGGAUCCGAGAAAGACUAUAUAUAUAUAUAGAGUUGAGCUAGAAUACUAUCGAUAGCAAACGGGCUUUGUUGCCACCUAUUUGUUUUCGAUGAUGGAGCCUCCAAAUCGACGAUCGGCACCGUUGAAUAUGAUCUAUACCGUUGAAUCGACGAUAGGAGUCUUGUAAUCAAGAUCAAGAGUAUAGAUCUCAUUUUAAGUAGUUUAAAGAAUUUUCUAAUAAAAAUUCAAUUGAUUUGGAUAUCUUUACGCUAUUAAACGAGUAAACGUCUCAUAUCAACCGUUAAAAUUACAAAUUUUGAAACCCUUUGAUCAUUAGGCAAAUGAUAUUGAAAAGAUUUAAAAUUUGAUUUCUAAACACUUCAAGUGGUAUAGAUCAUGUUUAACGGUCCCAAUCGUCGAUUUAGAGGCUUUAUCAUUGAAAACAAAUGGGUGGCAACGGAGCCCGUUUGCUAUUGAUAAUAUUCUAGCUCAACUCUCUCUCUCUCUCUCUCUCUCUCUCUCUCUCUCUCUCUCUCUAUAUAUAUAUAUAUAUAUAUAUAUAUAUAUAGUCCGGCUACUAUACUAUCGAUAAUACCAAGCUUUUGAUACUAUUGAGUUUUCUACCGUUAGAUCUACCCUUUGAUCAUUUCCACCCGUUAGAUUAUACUAUUAAACCAACCACCCACUCAACCCUAGGGGACUACUAUCAUCCUAACCGCACAUCUUUUCAUCCAACGACCGAAAACUCAAUAGUACUAAGGGCUUGGUACUAUUGAUAGUAUAGUAGCAUAAUUCUAUAUAUAUAUAUAUAUAUAUAUAUAUAGAGUCCGGCUGGGAUACUAUCGAUAGCACCAAGGGCUUAGUGCUAUCGAGUUUUCCACCGUUAGAUUUAUUCCUUUGAUUAUUUUAUCCAUUAAAUUAUACUAUUCAAUCAACCACCCACUAAACCCUAGGGGUUUCACAUCAUCCUAACCGCAUAUUUUUCAAUCCAAUGGCUAAAAAACUAAUAGCACCAAUAGCUUGAUGCUAUUGAUAGUAUUCCAGCCUAUAUAUAUAUAUAUAUAUAUAUAUAUAUAAUUAUACUAUUAUACUAUCAAUAGUACCAAGCCCUUGGUACUAUUGAGUUUUCGGUCGUUGGAUGAAAAGAUGUGCGGUUAGGAUGAUAGUGGUCCCGGGUUAAAUUGAUAGUGGUCUCCUAGGGUUGAGUGGGUGGUUGGUUUAAUAGUAUAAUCUAACGGGUGGAAAUGAUCAAAGGGUAGAUCUAACUGUAGGAAACUCAAUAGUACCAAGGGCUUGGUACUAUCGAUAGUAUAGUAGCCGGACUCUCUCUCUCUCUCUCUCUCUCUCUCUCUCUCUCUCUCUCUCUCUCUCUCUAUAUAUAUAUAUAUAUAUAUAUAUAGUGUUGAGCUAGAAUACUAUCGGUAGCGAACGGUUUUUAUUACCACCCAUUUAUUUUCAAUGAUUGAACCUUCAAAUCGACGAUCGGCACCGUUGAAUAUGAUCUAUACCGCUCGAAGUAUCUAGAAAUCAAAUUUCAUGCUUUUCCAAUAUUAUUCUCUUGUCCAUCAAGUAGACACAAAAAUAAACAGUUGAAAAUAAAAUAUCCUUUAAAAAGUGAUAAUAGGGGUUUUGUAAUCAAGAUCAAGAGUAUAGAUCUUAUUUUAAAAAGGUUAAAAAAUUUUCGGGUAAAUUACAUUGUUACCCCCUGAACUUUUGGCGAAGUUUCACUUUACCCCUCGAACUCGUAAAAUAGACAUCUAACUCCCUAAACUCUAAUAUUUCGUUCAUGUUACCCCUUCCGUCAGUUUUCCGUCAAGCUCCGUUAACCGGAAACUGACGGAAGGGGUAAAACAAAUGAAAAAUUAAAGUUUAGGGUGUUAGAUGUCUAUUUUAGGAGUUUGGGGGUUUAAGUGAAACUCGCCAAAAGUUCAGGAAGUAGUAAUGUAAUUUACUCCGUAAGGGACUCUUGACUAUAAAUUAUUUUAUUAUAAUAUGUUUUUUAUGGAUUGACUACUAAUUCUCAAGUUAGUGAUCAUGCUUGAUUUUGAAUUUAUAUAUAUUUUUUAUCCUAAAAUAAAUCAUACCAUAAUUUAUUCUACAUUUUAUUGUAAUAAAAUAAAAGUGAAAGAAAUGAAUUAGAGUGGCUUAAAGAUAAAAAAAGAGUGAUACUAACUACCUACGAUAUUCAAACACUCUACUAUCCCAACGUACUCGCUAAUAUGGUUGAUUUACAAUAGGUGUCCUCACUCGGAUAUAGAAAUUUUAAUUCUCAGUUAAUUUUCUGUAGUACUCAUUUGUCCCUUUUAUCUUUAGAAAUAUUGUUCUAUAAAAUACACUUAAAUAAAAUUUUUGUACUUCAUUUCAGCCAAUUAGAAAUUUUUAAUAUAAAAAUAUAAAAAUAAUUUAUAGUAAAAAUUUGGAUAAAUUGUAUUGUUACCCCCUGAAUUUUUGGCGAGUUUCACUUAACCCCCCAGACUCCUAAAAUAGACAUCUAGCACCCUAAACUCUAAUAUUUCAUUCGUUUUACCCCUUCCGUCAGUUUCCGGUUAACGGAGCUUGACGGAAAACUGACGAAAGGGGUAAUAUGAACGAAAUAUUAUAAUUUAGGAGGUUAGAAGUCCAUUUUAGAAAUUCGAGGGGUAAAGUGAAACUUCACCAAAAGUUAAGGGGGUAACAAUGCAAUUUAUCCAAAAAUUUUCUAACCAAAAUUUUGCUGAUUUGAAUAUUUUUAUGUCGUUAAACGAAAAACAUCUCAUAUUGACUGUUUAAAUUCAAAUUGUUUGAAAUCCUUUAAUAAUUAGGUCAAUGAUGUCGAAAAGAUUCGAAAUUUGGUUUCUAGAUACUUUAAGUGGUAUGGAUCAUGUUCAACGGUACUGAUCGUCAAUUUACAGACUGGAUCAUCAAAAAUAAAUAGGCGGCAACAGAAUUCGUUAGCUAUCGAUGGCAUUUCCGCUCAACUCCAUGUUAUUUACAUACAUUUCUUGGUACAUUCAAAAAAUAA
Molecule: long non-coding RNA, 3308 nt
Filed under: Ananas comosus (pineapple)
Lineage: Eukaryota; Viridiplantae; Streptophyta; Magnoliopsida; Poales; Bromeliaceae
Description: long non-coding RNA (ACOM_LNC042385)
Source: RNAcentral